CAGGGGAUGUCCAUCUCAUGAGUUAAUCGCCUUCUGUUCAGAUGUCAGGAGGAGAUGAAGUUUCUAUAAAUAGAUGGUGAAGCUCCUGUGGUUUCAGCUGUGAUUCACACACAUGGCAGAGAAGCAUUAGGAAGAAUUAACAUUCAAUCUCUCAGGCACUUUCCUGAGCACAAAUGCCAUUCUGUCCCAGCCAUUUAAUCUCCUUGCCCAGGGGAGCUCAGCAGCACUUUCUGGAGGGUCUGAAUGGGUCAAAUGGACAGGGAAACCCAGAGCAGGACUGCUGGGAAGAUAAAAAUGGCCAUUUCAGCUGGAGUGACUGUGCAACACCUGCCCACCAUAUACAGCUGCAUUUAGGAACGUGGCAAGGUGCCCUGCUCCCCCUUUACUGGGACUGAGAUCAGACGGUGUGGUUCUGUUAUGGUACGCGCACGCUGGGAUGCCUGACAACAGCUUCUGGGACUGAGACAGCUUCUGAUGAUGCAGGCAUCCAGCAGCCGAAGCCUCCUCAAGCUCACUGGCAUGGAGGUCAAGUGGAUUCACGUGUUGGUCAUCUUCUUCUUCCUGAUGUCUGUUGCGAUGACAGGCUGCUUUCUGUGGCAGUACAGCCUCCCCAAGGUGGAGUCCAGCCCAUCUGUAAUGGACAUGAGAGCAGAAGCUGUGCAGAUGUGCCCCCGCUAUCCAGAACCAGUACCGCUGGACCACCCAAUCCCCAUUCUGAAGGAUGCAUUGGGAAAGGUCUGUGAGGAGAACAGAACAGAGGGACAUGGAGCUCAUGACUUCUUUUCUGAAGGUGUAAAGGGGAAAAUAUGUAUUUUGCCACUGAGCAUCUCUGGGGGAAGAGGUGGGGAAUUGAGGAAGUGGAGAAGAUGUGAAUGUAGAAAUGGGUAUACAGAACUCCUUCACUGAAUAUACAGACCAGGUCAGUAAGCAGUUCUCUUAUCCAAAGGGUAAGCUAUGAUGAAGAAACAGUAUUACCUGUCCAUCAGAAGAUCCGGUGAGCAUAUAACAGCACAUGGCUCCUGGCAUCUUGCCUAAUAUUAGGCAGUUCUCAUGUCCUGGAAAGUGACUCAUGUAACCAUUUCCUCUUCAUCAGUGACUGCCAAUUCCUUAUUUUAUUGCUUUGCUGGCUUUCCCCAUGGCACCAUUUAAAGAUUAAAAAGCCACUUGCAGGUAACUUCAAGGAAAGAAAUGGAGGGAAAUGGGAAGAAGGGGACAUGCAUCUGAAUGAGAGACCUGUUUUUCCUCCGUAUGAUAUACUGCCUCUGAAAUUUUAAAACUGUCUGAAAUUCGGGUAGGCUCUAUUUGCAAUGAGGAAAUACCGCAGCAUUGCCUUGAUUGUAUGGACCAUAAGGACAGCCAUGCUCUGACAGAAGACUGCUGGUAGUAUAUAUCAUAAAAUAUAUCCUCUCAUUAGUCUCUUUCUCAUUAGCAGCUUGAUUAGUCAUAAUAGAAGCUGCCCCACAGCUCUGAUCAUUCUUUUUACCCUUUUUUGAAUCUCUUCCGACUCUAGCAUACUCCUGUGAAGAUGUGGGAAAUCAGUACUGUGCACAGUAUUCGAGGUGCAAGUGGAUUAGGGAUUUAUACAGUGAUAAAAUGGUGUUUUCUGUUUUAUUUUAUGUUACUUCUCUCAUAAUCCCUCAUAUCUGAUUUACCUUUUUUUUUUUUUCUGCCACAGGGCACUGAGCAAAUGUUUACAUAGGAGCAUCCAUCACAGCCCCAAGGUCUCGUUCCUGAGUGCUAAAGCCCAGCUCACUGCCCAUCUGUGUCUAUGUGUUGUGAAGUUAGGGUUGUUUUCCUUCAGGCAUGUCACUUUAUCUACACUGAAUUUCGGUUGCUGUCACUUCACAUCCACUUUUCUGAAGUCUGUGCCACUGUCUCUGGGGUUACUGUAGAGAGGUAUUUUAUU
This is a long non-coding RNA of Athene cunicularia (burrowing owl), 1906 nucleotides long. NCBI's taxonomy places the organism in Eukaryota, Metazoa, Chordata, Aves, Strigiformes, Strigidae. The record is from Ensembl.